Long non-coding RNA from Helianthus annuus (common sunflower), 1485 nucleotides. RefSeq lists it as uncharacterized. The transcript has 3 exons. Lineage: Eukaryota; Viridiplantae; Streptophyta; Magnoliopsida; Asterales; Asteraceae. The record is from RefSeq and is a predicted model, not a curated record.
CACUUUUUCAUCUCAAAACCCUCACUCCAACCCACCAUCACCCCUCCACCGUCACCCCUCCACCAUCCAUCUCAGGCACCACCAAAUUCGGCCACCGGACACCACUACACACCCCUUUCUCCACACAACACGCGUCAUCCACCGCGCGUAUGCCGGCAUCAACACCGCGCCUCCCUUACUACCAUCGAUCACCACCGGUCUGGCUCAACCGGCGUCAAUCGACGUCGGCGACACAAGCACUUCCAAAUAAGGGUACGCAUGUCUUCUCCCCCUUCUCACUUCAUGCCUAACAAGUCCAGAAACCCUAAAUGGCGAUGAGGUUUUCCACCGACGAUUAUCAGCAAUGACGACGUCGAUGAUUACCACAGUCCAUCAGAGGUACCCAAAUGUGACGGUUUUGAUUCGACUUCUUCUUCAGAGCUUUUCAUCUGUUUGUUGUAAUCGUCAUCGAUGCCUUUUCGCUUGCAGGUAAAUACAUUUCCAGUAGUGUGUAUUUAUUGCUUAGCCAUAUUAGUAUAUUGCUAUUAGUCAAUUUUUAUUAUCACUGAUACAUGUUAUUAGGUUCCCCAAAAUUUGUUGUGUUUACAUACCUACAUUUACUUUUGUGUCGGUUAACCAAACCAUUUUUUAUAUCAAUAGAAUUAACCAAAACUGUUUUUAACCCAAAUUUAUCGUUUAAAGAACAAACUCCAUCUCUUAAGUUUGACUGUUGGACUUGAAUUUGACUUUCGUAUAUAUAAAAGAUUUUAAUAUGAGUACAGAACUAUGGUGCGUUUUUUUUUUUUUUAUAAAAACGGGUACUGGUAUUUUGGGCCAAGUGAAGCUCCAGGGCUUAACAAAUGGGUCGGUCGUUGACCUUUCAUCUCAACAAUGGACAUAUUGAGUUGGAUUCAAAGGAGAAGCACAAGGCCAGGACACUGGUGGUUCGUCACUUUGGAUCUCAGGGUCCCCUAAAACUCAACCUCAGACUUGGUACAAGACUUCACGGGAAUGGGGAAAGGCGAAACGUGGGUCAAUGGUCAAAUCAUCGGACGUUAUUGGUCUGCUAAUAUUGCUCCAAGUAACAGUUGCUCAGAUUGUAGUUACAAAGAACCAUGUUUGAACUGUUGAUAACUUAUUAUGUUAACUGUACUUGCACAUAUUGUAUCACAACAAAGGACAUGAUAAAUGCUUGCAACCAUACCUGAAUAAAUAAAUCACAAUAUUACUAACAUGAUGAAUGCUUGCAACCAUACCUGAAUAAAGCUAACCAAACACGUCGCGCAACGCGCGACAUCGAAUACCCCUAGUUAAUAUAAUCUACCUUGGACCAAAAUAAUCAUCAUCAGCCCAUGUAUUUGUUUUAACACAUAUCGAAUUAAUAUAAUCUACCUUGGACCAAAAUAAUCAUCAUCAGCCCAUGUAUUUGUUGACUUGAAUUAUCAUCCCUAAAUUUAUCCACUUCGUUCAAAAAAAAAAAAAAAAAAAAAAAGACUAUUUUGUCCA